This is a long non-coding RNA of Homo sapiens (human), 353 nucleotides long. RefSeq lists it as uncharacterized. The transcript has 2 exons. The record is from RefSeq and is a predicted model, not a curated record. Lineage: Eukaryota; Metazoa; Chordata; Mammalia; Primates; Hominidae.
CCAGAAUUGGAUCUUUAAUUUGUGUGUACUGCUCCUUCCUUUCUGAGUUAUGAAUUGUCUCUAAUUUGGAGAUUGUUCAUAUGGUGAUACUUGAAAACAUCUAACCGAGGGCAGGAAUUGUUUGUAUUUUGAUUGAAGCUAGUCUAUUGAUUCAAACACAUGAAUACGUUUUUGUCCUGUAAAUUUUCACUGCUGCACAGAGCCAGUCAAGCCAAGAAUUGAAAUGAGCAGUCUUUGCUUGUGAGUCUGUCUGAACCUCUGUCUCCUAAAAGUUGUCUACAUCUGCAAGAUUGCCUCACCUCCACAGCAAGAAUAAUAAACAUGUUUUACCAUUUAUUUUGUGUUAUUCCCAG